GGGACCGUUAUCCGAAUACUGGGCGUAAGCGUAGCGCUAGGCGGUUGUUCAAGACCGAUGUGAAAUCCCCGGGGCUUAACCUGGGAAUUGCCUUUGAGACUGCGUGUCUUGAGUGUGUCAGAGGUAUGUGGAAUUCCACAUGUAGCAGGUGAAUGCGUAGAUAUGUGGAGGAAUACCGAUGGCGAAGGCAACCUCCUGGGAUAAUACUGACGCUCAAGCCCCAAAGCGUGGGGAACCAACAGGAAUAAAUACCCUGGGUAUCCCCGCCCUAAACCAAGUCUGUAAUUGGUGGGGAUUCAUUUCCUUAGGAGACUCACUUACGCGUGUAGUUGACCGCCCGGGGAAUACGGGCGCCAGAAUAAAACUCCAAGGGAUUGGCGGGGAGCCGCCCAAGCGGUGGAUGAUGUGGAUUAAUUCGAUGCAACGCGAAAAACCUUACCUACCUUUUGACAUGCCACGGACCAAGCAGAGAUGCGUAUGUGCCCUCGAGACAAGGUGGACACGUGCGGUGCGUGGGUGUCCUCAUCUCGUGUCGAGAUAUGUUGGGUUAACUCCCGCAACGAGCGCACCCCUUGUCUCUAUGUGCUACGACAGGUGGCACCUCAGAGGCUGCUGGUGAUGCUCCGGAGGAAGGUGGUGAUGACGACGUCUCCUCAUGGUGGUUAUGGCUAGGUGUUCUCCCCUCAUGCUAUGGUGCAUACUAAGGAUUGCCAAUCCUCGAGGUGCAUCUCAUCUCAGAAUAUGCAUCGCAACCCGAAUCCUAGUCUGUGGCUCCACUACGUGAAGCUGGACUCCCUGCUAAUCGCGGAUCAUCAUGCCGCGGUGAAUACGUUCCCCGGUCUUGCACGGACAGUUGGUUCUCACCAUGGGAGUGGGCUUUACCCCAAUUUAGUUAUCCUAACCACGAUGAGGUCAAUUACCGCGGUUAGGUUCAUGACUGGGGGGCAGUCCAUACUAAGGUAACCAGGGGUUUUGUGUGGUGGGCGCUUCGACAUUUUGCUGUGGGGUUAAUUAAUCUUUCGUCGAG
RNAcentral lists this ribosomal RNA (1027 nucleotides) under Ralstonia solanacearum. RNAcentral describes it as "bacterial SSU rRNA". It matches the Rfam family "Bacterial small subunit ribosomal RNA", at positions 534 to 1533 of the family's 1533-position model. Lineage: Bacteria; Pseudomonadati; Pseudomonadota; Betaproteobacteria; Burkholderiales; Burkholderiaceae. The record is from RNAcentral.